GGUUGCUUCGUCCAGUGGUAGGAUACCUCUUUCGGGCAAAACCCGGUGUGAUACACACCAGAUCAAAAGAGGCUCUGUAAUAGAGGUGGUCGCGGGUUCGAAUCCCGCAGUGACCC
This is a transfer RNA of 116 nucleotides. It matches the Rfam family "tRNA". From Rfam's summary of the family: Transfer RNA (tRNA) molecules are approximately 80 nucleotides in length. Their secondary structure includes four short double-helical elements and three loops (D, anti-codon, and T loops). Further hydrogen bonds mediate the characteristic L-shaped molecular structure. tRNAs have two regions of fundamental functional importance: the anti-codon, which is responsible for specific mRNA codon recognition, and the 3' end, to which the tRNAs corresponding amino acid is attached (by aminoacyl-tRNA synthetases). tRNAs cope with the degeneracy of the genetic code in two manners: having more than one tRNA (with a specific anti-codon) for a particular amino acid; and 'wobble' base-pairing, i.e. permitting non-standard base-pairing at the 3rd anti-codon position. The record is from Rfam.